GAUGAAGAACGCAGCGAAUUGCGAUAAGUAAUGUGAAUUGCAGAAUUCAGUGAAUCAUCGAGUCUUUGAACGCACAUUGCGCCCCCUGGUAUUCCGGGGGGCAUGCCUGUCCGAGCGUCAUUGCUGCCCUCAAGCACGGCUUGUGUGUUGGGUCUCCGUCCUCCUCCCGGGGGACGGGCCCGAAAGGCAGCGGCGGCACCGCGUCCGGUCCUCGAGCGUAUGGGGCUUCGUCACCCGCUCUUGUAGGCCCGGCCGGCGCUUGCCGACACAUCAAUCUUUUUUCCAGGUUGACCUCGGAUCAGGUAGGGAUACCCGCUGAACUUAAGCAUAUCAAUAAGCGGAGGA
RNAcentral lists this unclassified non-coding RNA (345 nucleotides) under soil metagenome. RNAcentral's name for it is "partial contains 5.8S ribosomal RNA, internal transcribed spacer 2, and large subunit ribosomal RNA". The stretch from base 1 to 120 matches the Rfam family "5.8S ribosomal RNA", at positions 35 to 154 of the family's 154-position model. The record is from RNAcentral.